AGACCCGAAACCCGGUGAUCUAGCCAUGGGCAGGUUGAAGGUUGGGUAACACUAACUGGAGGACCGAACCGACUAAUGUUGAAAAAUUAGCGGAUGACCUGUGGCUGGGGGUGAAAGGCCAAUCAAACCGGGAGAUAGCUGGUUCUCCCCGAAAGCUAUUUAGGUAGCGCCUCGUGAAUUCAUCUCCGGGGGUAGAGCACUGUUUCGGCUAGGGGGCCAUCCCGGCUUACCAACCCGAUGCAAACUGCGAAUACCGGAGAAUGUUAUCACGGGAGACACACGGCGGGUGCUAACGUCCGUCGUGAAGAGGGAAACAACCCAGACCGCCAGCUAAGGUCCCAAAGUCAUGGUUAAGUGGGAAACGAUGUGGGAAGGCCCAGACAGCCAGGAUGUUGGCUUAGAAGCAGCCAUCAUUUAAAGAAAGCGUAAUAGCUCACUGGUCGAGUCGGCCUGCGCGGAAGAUGUAACGGGGCUAAACCAUGCACCGAAGCUGCGGCAGCGACGCUGAUGCGUUGUUGGGUAGGGGAGCGUUCUGUAAGCCUGCGAAGGUGGCCUGUGAGGGUUGCUGGAGGUAUCAGAAGUGCGAAUGCUGACAUAAGUAACGAUAAAGCGGGUGAAAAGCCCGCUCGCCGGAAGACCAAGGGUUCCUGUCCAACGUUAAUCGGGGCAGGGUGAGUCGACCCCUAAGGCGAGGCCGAAAGGCGUAGUCGAUGGGAAACGGGUUAAUAUUCCCGUACUUGGUGUUACUGCGAAGGGGGGACGGAGAAGGCUAUGUUGGCCGGGCGACGGUUGUCCCGGUUUAAGCGUGUAGGUGUGUGUUCCAGGUAAAUCCGGUUCACUUUAACACUGAGGCGUGACGACGAGGCACUACGGUGCUGAAGCAACAAAUGCCCUGCUUCCAGGAAAAGCCUCUAAGCAUCAGGUAACAUCAAAUCGUACCCCAAACCGACACAGGUGGUCAGG
This 963-nucleotide ribosomal RNA is filed under the name Salmonella enterica subsp. enterica serovar Haifa. Its description in RNAcentral is "partial 23S ribosomal RNA". It matches the Rfam family "Bacterial large subunit ribosomal RNA", at positions 711 to 1671 of the family's 2925-position model. The record is from RNAcentral. Lineage: Bacteria; Pseudomonadati; Pseudomonadota; Gammaproteobacteria; Enterobacterales; Enterobacteriaceae.